This 301-nucleotide ribosomal RNA is filed under the name uncultured bacterium. RNAcentral describes it as "partial 16S ribosomal RNA". It matches the Rfam family "Bacterial small subunit ribosomal RNA", at positions 509 to 809 of the family's 1533-position model. The record is from RNAcentral.
CAGUAGCCGCGGGAAUACAGAGGGUGCGAGCGUUAAUCGGAUUUACUGGGCGUAAAGCGUGCGUAGGCGGCUUUUUAAGUCGGAUGUGAAAUCCCUGAGCUUAACUUAGGAAUUGCAUUCGAUACUGGGAAGCUAGAGUAUGGGAGAGGAUGGUAGAAUUCCAGGUGUAGCGGUGAAAUGCGUAGAGAUCUGGAGGAAUACCGAUGGCGAAGGCAGCCAUCUGGCCUAAUACUGACGCUGAGGUACGAAAGCAUGGGGAGCAAACAGGAUUAGAUACCCGUGUAGUCCCUGUCUCUUAUAA